GACCGGCGCAAGGGUGACGUAACGCGUGAGCAACUUGCCCUUAUCAGGGGGAUAACCGGUGGAAACGCCGACUAAUACCCCAUGGCAUUGAGGUUGAGGCAUCGUCUACUCAAUUAAAGAAAUUCGGAUAAGGAUGGGCAUGCGUUCCAUUAGAUAGUUGGUGAGGUAACAGCUCACCAAGGUCGACGAUGGAUAGGGGUUCUGAGAGGAAGGUCCCCCACAUUGGUACUGAGACACGGACCAAACUCCUACGGGAGGCAGCAGUGAGGAAUAUUGGUCAAUGGGUCUAACGACUGAACCAGCCAUGCCGCGUGAAGGUCACGGCCCUAUGGGUCUUAAAUUUCUUUUGUAAGGGAGCAAUAAGCUUUACGUGUAGAGUGAUGAGAGUACCUUACGAAUAAGCAUCGGCUAACUCCGUG
This 419-nucleotide ribosomal RNA is filed under the name uncultured bacterium. RNAcentral describes it as "bacterial SSU rRNA". It matches the Rfam family "Bacterial small subunit ribosomal RNA", at positions 93 to 507 of the family's 1533-position model. The record is from RNAcentral.